Molecule: long non-coding RNA, 743 nt
Organism: Populus nigra (black poplar)
Lineage: Eukaryota; Viridiplantae; Streptophyta; Magnoliopsida; Malpighiales; Salicaceae
Exons: 2
Source: RefSeq, a predicted model, not a curated record
UUCCCCUUGAAGACUCUUUUGGAUCCCUUUGUCCCAAAGAUACUAAAGUCUUAUCCAAGGGGGAAAAUGCACGCUGUACCACUAAUCCAUGUCGAUCUUCCAUGUCAAAUUCAUCAAGCAUUUGUUUGGAUACAUAAUUAAAUCCAAACCCUCUACUUUAAUUAGGACGUUCAUGUCUGAAUCCAAAAUUAUCAUUUUGUAUAAGCAAAAUGUCUCCUUCUCAAAGCAAGGAUUGCUAAUUCAAUGAUGUCUUGCUGGAUUCCAAAAAAACCGGUCUCUGCAAGCCAGAGAGUGGCACGGAUUGAUAGUGCAAAACAAGAAAGUCGUACAGACUGAGCUGCUUGUGUCUGCCUUUGCCUCAGAGGGGAUCUACAAUGGGAUGCUUUAUUAGUAGUGCUCAAACAGCUUCUCAUUGUCCUUUUCUUCUUCUUUUUUCUUGCAAAUAUUGAAAGGAAUCUUUGUCCAGCCUUUCUUACAUUCCCCCCUUUUUUUUAUUGCCAUACUAUGAGACAUGAAUGAUCAGUGGUUCUAUUUCUUGAAUCUGGAAUUAUUAUGUCUAGAAAAAAAUAUAAUUUCCUCUUUCUCCUCCAUUGUCCUCGUUAUAUACGGGCAGGGUAGAACAUUUGAGACAACGAGAGGCCCAAGCUUGCAGUCUUCAUAGCAAUUAUUCAUAGUUUUAAGCUUAUGUUAACCCUUAUGAUUUAUACGACUAAUAUAAACUCACUCUUGAGUUUACAACUUAA